This 301-nucleotide ribosomal RNA is filed under the name uncultured bacterium. RNAcentral describes it as "partial 16S ribosomal RNA". It matches the Rfam family "Bacterial small subunit ribosomal RNA", at positions 509 to 807 of the family's 1533-position model. The record is from RNAcentral.
CAGUAGCCGCGGGAAAACGUAGGGGGCAAGCGUUAUCCGGAAUAACUGGGCGUAAAGGGUGCGUAGGCGGCCAUUCAAGUUAGAUGUGAAAGCCCUGGGCUCAACCUAGGAAUUGCAUUUGAUACUGUUUGGCUUGAGUUCGGGAGAGGUGAGUGGAAUUCCCAGUGUAGAGGUGAAAUUCGUAGAUAUUGGGAAGAACACCGGUGGCGAAGGCGGCGACCUGGUCCAUUACUGACGCUGAGGCGCGAAAGCGUGGGGAGCAAACAGGAUUAGAUACCCCGGUAGUCCCUGUCUCUUAUAC